CAGGUAGGUGGUCUGUUAAGUCUUCUGUGAAAAUCCGGGGCUCAACCCCGCGAAAUGCAGGUGAAACUGGCAGACUGGAGACCGGUAGAGGCUAGCGGAAUUCCUGGUGUAGCGGUGGAAUGCGUAAAUAUCAGGAAGAACACCUGUGGCGAAGGCGGCUAGCUGGGCCGGUUCUGACACUAAACUGCGAAAGCGUGGGAAGCAAACA
RNAcentral lists this ribosomal RNA (208 nucleotides) under uncultured bacterium. RNAcentral describes it as "partial 16S ribosomal RNA". It matches the Rfam family "Bacterial small subunit ribosomal RNA", at positions 568 to 774 of the family's 1533-position model. The record is from RNAcentral.